AUACUUUUGUAGAUAAUUAGCUGGAGUUUUUAAAGAAAAAUCUACAAACUAAAUCAUUAUGGACCUGUUCGUUUAUUAAUCGCUGCGACAACGACAACGACUCCGACAAAAGCAAAAAUUAUAACGGAGAUACAAAAACAGUCGCUCAAUAUGGACGCCGGCGAUGUCCCUAGUGAAGAUGUUGAGUCGCUGUUAUUUUAGGCGACACAUGUAUAUGCCUUAUAGGUCGCUGUUUUUAAAAUCGAGCGACUCCUCUCCAUAUAACUCUCUACAGAAUUCAAUGUAAUUGUGUAUUAAACAACUGUUUUUGUGGUCGCUGGAUCUGAUCGCAGCGUCUGGAAAAAGAACAGGGCCUAUAUCAAUGCUAAAGAAAGAGAAU
This 379-nucleotide small RNA is filed under the name Arabidopsis thaliana (thale cress). RNAcentral's name for it is "ATSL259260". The record is from RNAcentral. Lineage: Eukaryota; Viridiplantae; Streptophyta; Magnoliopsida; Brassicales; Brassicaceae.